This 399-nucleotide ribosomal RNA is filed under the name uncultured bacterium. Its description in RNAcentral is "bacterial SSU rRNA". It matches the Rfam family "Bacterial small subunit ribosomal RNA", at positions 358 to 773 of the family's 1533-position model. The record is from RNAcentral.
GGAAUAUUGCACAAUGGGCGCAAGCCUGAUGCAGCGACGCCGCGUGGGUGAAUACGGUUUUCGGACUGUAAAGCCCUUUUCUGUGUGACGAGAGUGGACGGUAGCACAGGAAUAAGUUUCGGCUAACUACGUGCCAGCAGCCGCGGUAAAACGUAGGAGGCGAGCGUUAUCCGGAGUUACUGGGCGUAAAGCGCGUGCAGGCGGAUGGUUAAGUUACUUAUGAAAGAUCCUGGCUAAACUGGGAGAGGUUGAGUGAAACUGGCUAUCUAGAGUGGAUGAGAGGUUGACGGAAUUCCUUGUGUAGUGGUGAAAUGCGUAGAUAUAAGGAAGAACACCAGUGGCGAAGGCGGUCAACUGGCAUCCAACUGACGCUCAGACGCGAAAGCAUGGGUAGCGAAC